Molecule: RNase P RNA, 386 nt
Filed under: bacterium
Lineage: Bacteria
Description: RNase P RNA component class A
Rfam family: Bacterial RNase P class A
About the family: Ribonuclease P (RNase P) is a ubiquitous endoribonuclease, found in archaea, bacteria and eukarya as well as chloroplasts and mitochondria. Its best characterised activity is the generation of mature 5'-ends of tRNAs by cleaving the 5'-leader elements of precursor-tRNAs.
Source: RNAcentral
CCAGCCAGUCGGGUAAUCGCUCUGUCAGGCUAACCCCUGAUAGGGAGGAAAGUCCGAACACCCUUUUCCGCCAGAUGGCGGACCAAAAAAAGUAGCGGCUAACCGCCGUCCACCGUAAGGUGCGAGGUGCGAACAGAGACGUUCCGAAGCGAAAGCUGAGGAACGCCCGGUCGAAUGAUCGGGCGAGCCCUAAAGGCAACUUUAGGGGUGAAACGGCCAAAUCCUUAUCGGGCGCAAGAACAAAGCUCGUCGGAAUUUCCCCGCGGAAAAUCCUGAGGAGUUAAAAGUAGUUCGCUAGAUCCCGAGGGCAACCGAGGGACCAGAGAAAUGGUUACCGUCCCGCUUACAGCGGGAUACAGAAUUCGGCUUAUAGACUGACUGGAAAU